GUCGAGCGGAAACGAUGGUAGCUUGCUACCAGGCGUCGAGCGGCGGACGGGUGAGUAACGCGUGAGAAUCUGCCCAUUUGUGGGGGAUAACUCGGGGAAACUCGAGCUAAUACCGCAUAAUCCCUACGGGGGAAAGCAGGGGACCUUCGGGCCUUGUGCAGAUGGAUGAGCUCGCGUCGGAUUAGCUUGUUGGUGAGGUAAAGGCUCACCAAGGCGACGAUCCGUAGCUGGUCUGAGAGGAUGAUCAGCCACACCGGGACUGAGACACGGCCCGGACUCCUACGGGAGGCAGCAGUGGGGAAUCUUGGACAAUGGGGGCAACCCUGAUCCAGCCAUGCCGCGUGUGUGAAGAAGGCCUUCGGGUUGUAAAGCACUUUCAGUAGGGAGGAAGGCUUACCGCUAAUAACGGUGAGUACUUGACGUUACCUACAGAAGAAGCACCGGCUAAUUUCGUGCCAGCAGCCGCGGUAAUACGAAAGGUGCGAGCGUUAAUCGGAAUUACUGGGCGUAAAGCGCGCGUAGGCGGUUUGUUAAGUCAGAUGUGAAAGCCCCGGGCUCAACCUGGGAAUUGCAUUUGAAACUGGCAGGCUAGAGUGCAGUAGAGGGAGGUGGAAUUUCCGGUGUAGCGGUGAAAUGCGUAGAGAUCGGAAGGAACACCAGUGGCGAAGGCGGCCUCCUGGACUGACACUGACGCUGAGGUGCGAAAGCGUGGGGAGCAAACAGGAUUAGAUACCCUGGUAGUCCACGCCGUAAACGAUGUCUACUAGUCGUUGGGAAUCUUAGUAUUCUUAGUGACGAAGUUAACGCGAUAAGUAGACCGCCUGGGGAGUACUGCCGCGAGUUAAAACUCAAAUGAAUUGACGGGGGCCCGCACAAGCGGUGGAGCAUGUGGUUUAAUUCGAUGCAACGCGAAGAACCUUACCAGCCUUGACAUCCUUGGAACUUUCUAGAGAUAGAUGGUGCCUUCGGGAGCCAAGUGACAGUGCUGCAUGGCUGUCGUCAGCUCUCGUC
RNAcentral lists this ribosomal RNA (1011 nucleotides) under Alcanivorax jadensis. RNAcentral describes it as "bacterial SSU rRNA". It matches the Rfam family "Bacterial small subunit ribosomal RNA", at positions 61 to 1066 of the family's 1533-position model. The record is from RNAcentral. Lineage: Bacteria; Pseudomonadati; Pseudomonadota; Gammaproteobacteria; Oceanospirillales; Alcanivoracaceae.